UCCGUCUGUGCAACUAACAUCCCGGCCCCACUUGUCAUCUUCCCCAUGGAGCCGUGUUCGUCAGAAACACUGUAACUCGCCGAGCUGCAGCGAUAUUGAUGAGUCAGUCGAUUCGAUCGAUCCCUCGACUCCACGUGCAAGUUGGAGUUCGAAUUCCGACGCCCAAUAAGUUCUUCGACCUCCCGUGCCGUUUCUCGCCGUUCGCCUCAAUUUUUGGAUCUCGCUGGAGUUCGACGCCCGAAGCUCUUGACGCUGGACGAAUUCGUCACCAUCGCGGGAACCCACGGAGGCGAGCGCACAAAGGACUCCCGAGGGAGAUCGCCCCGGGCCCAACUUCAGCCGUUCGUCUCCGUCGCAUAAGGAAGCCCCGACGCUCACGAGAUCACCGCCGAGUUCGCGUUCAUGCGUCGCGAGCCAUCUGACCCUCCCCGGAGCCUGAAGACUUACAGGAUCGCCGGCCGCAUUGAGUAGAGCCGCCGCGCGCCGUUCUGCUUCAAGUCCGGUGAAGCCAGCUCUGUUCUUUCUCCGAUUGUUCGGAGUGUAAGGAGGAUCAGAAUUAAACGUUAGAGAACUUCAGCACCAUUCAAGGCAAGUUGCCCUUUUUUAUCAUAGUUAAUCCUAUUUUUAUGAUGCAUGUGUUGGAUAUGUUUUGGUGCGAUUCAUGUUCCUUGUUGCGUUAUGUGUGUAUCGUUUGUGUUGUGUAAUUGUGUGCUCAGUUUCGUUUUGGUAUACGAUGUAGAUUCUUGAGAUUGUUGAGCUUAUAUGUGAGGACUUGUUAAUAACUUGAGUAGAAACUUAUUAUAAAAAUCACCUUGGGAUGACAAGGUUGCAUUAUGGACAUUCUUCAUGGUUGUGCUUCGUCUUGUUUAGGGUUGCAUUAUGGUGUAUCUACCCACGACUGUGUGCUUCAUAGAAGGAAAGUUGCAUUAUGGGUAUGGUCCAUGGUUGUGCUCCGAGUAGUUUAUAUGAGGGUUGCAUUGUGGUGUAUCUUCCCACGGUCGCGUGCUUCCCUAAGUAAGGUUGCAUUGUGGUGUACCCACCCACGGUUGUGUGCUCAUUGGUAGGGUUGCAUUAUGGGGUGCACACGGUUGUGUGCUCCCUAGUAGUUUUCACCCACGCUCAUGAAGACUAGACAUAAUCGGUGUACAAUAGCUUCCAUUUGGAGUAAACUUUACAUAUCUCUAUGGAGUGUCAUACUUUGCAUUGUAGAUGUAGGUUUGCUAUAUCAUUUAUGUGCAAUUUUCCAAUACAUUCAACUUAUCACGUUGUAGAUUUUAUGUGACGAGUGAGUGAUACAAUGUAGGGUUCCAAUGUCUAUACUUGAAUUUUACUUGUGGUGCUGAUGGACUUCAUGGAGAUUUUAUUUACCUUUCCGUUGUGUUUUGUUUGUAUGCUAGCUUGAGUUAUGCAAUAUUGUAAUUCUAGAUCUAUGAUGUAAUAUUAUGACAUGUGGUUCAUUCUUGAUAUUAAAUUGUGUACUCUCUGUGCUAGCUAAUGAUCCAGGGACUAGCACAACAAGCAUAGAGACAUCGAAUCUUAUCAGGUUCGGGUCGUUACACAAGGAGAAGUCGGUGGACGCUACUUUCUAUCGAAGCAUCAUCGACAGCCCGAGGUAUCUCGUGCACACCCAACUAGACAUCUCAUUCGUCGUCGGGUUCGUGAGCAGGUUCAUGGAGGCUCCCACCAGCGAUUAUCUCGCGGCGGUCAAGCACCUCCUCGGGUACAUCGCAUGCACGAUCACACAUGCAUGUGUGUAUCAUCAUGACGACGAUGACAACCUGGUCGGUUAUAGUGACUCUGACCACGUUGGUGACUUGGACUCCACGAAGAGCACCUCUCGCAUAUGGUUCUUCCUAGGGAGCAGUCUCCUCAACAAGCAAUCGCUGAGGCAGAAGGUUGUCUCGACUUCUUCAUGCGUGGCAAAGUACACUGCGGUAGCUAUGGCCGCAUGUGAGAGAAUUUGGCUGGCUUGCUGAUACGUCUACAACGUAUCUAUAAUUUUUAAUUGUUACGUGUUAUUGUAUUAUCGUUCUAGGAUGAUUUUUUAGUAAUUAUUUAUCAGUUUAUAUUA
Molecule: long non-coding RNA, 2071 nt
Organism: Hordeum vulgare subsp. vulgare (domesticated barley)
Lineage: Eukaryota; Viridiplantae; Streptophyta; Magnoliopsida; Poales; Poaceae
Exons: 3
Source: RefSeq, a predicted model, not a curated record